UGUACAUGUAUAUAUUAAAAAUAGAGAGAAUUAACGAGAAAGUACGAUUUGAGAGUACUCGCAGUUACUGAAAGCUUGAUAAAAGCCAAAAACAAUGAACAAAAAAAAAAAAAAAAAAAAAACAUGCAUCAGAGACUGAAAUUUAAUAAAACACAUCCCAGGGAUUUAGUAUUUUAACGCCAUGGAUAGUCAAAGAAGACAUGGUUUAUACAAUGCUAAAAAUAAAUUCGUAUUUUAGGUAAUGUGUAUUCCAUUAAUAAACGUUUGUUUGAACUACUAGUAUUAAUAAAAUUAUUUGUUUUAUUUUUCAAAGUAUAAAAUAUAAUUUCUUAUAUAAAAUUGAAAAUGGAAUAUGUAGUAUGUUAACAAUUUCAGUUUGGGUUUGUGAUCUAGUGGUAUCACCGAUGACUAGGGUGCUUAAAUUUCCGGGUUCUAUACUGAUUCGGGGCGCUGGAAAAUUUGGUACAUCAGAACAUACAUACCCCAGACUUCUAACCGGCCGAAAUUUUAACUAGGAUGGGUAUUUUGGGGGCCUCGGUUGGUCAAUGACACCCCUAACUGGUAUAUGGAGAUCACUCGGCUUAUAAUAAAAUUGAGAAUGGAAAUGGGGAAUGUGCCAAAGAGACAACAACCCGACCAUAGAGCAGACAACAGCAGAAGGUCACCAACAGGUCUUCAAUGCAACGAGAAAUUCUCGCACCCGGAGGUGUCCUUCAGCUGGCCCCUCAACAAAUAUAUACUAGUUCAGUGAUAAUGAACACCAUACUAAACUCCAAAUUGUACACAACAAACUAAAUUAAAGUUGAAAUAAUACAAGACUAACAAAGGCCAGAGGCUCCUGACUUGGGACAGGCGCAAAAAUGCGGCGGGGUUAAACAUGUUUAUGAGAUCUCAACCCUCCCCCUAUACCUCUAGCCAAUGUAGAAAAGUAAUAUGUUUAGUUUAUCGAUUCCUGCCGAUGGGCC
RNAcentral lists this long non-coding RNA (965 nucleotides) under Mytilus galloprovincialis (Mediterranean mussel). Lineage: Eukaryota; Metazoa; Mollusca; Bivalvia; Mytilida; Mytilidae. The record is from RNAcentral.